CUAAACUUAGCUAACGGUUAACGUUAGCUGUCUCUUACCUGGAGACUCAAUCAGGUGGCUAAGAUUAACAAAAGAUUUUGGGAAACGAC
Molecule: long non-coding RNA, 89 nt
Organism: Etheostoma spectabile (orangethroat darter)
Lineage: Eukaryota; Metazoa; Chordata; Actinopteri; Perciformes; Percidae
Exons: 3
Source: RefSeq, a predicted model, not a curated record